GCAAGUCGUGCGAGAAAGUAUCUUCGGAUAUGAGUAGAACGGCGGACGGGUGAGUAACGCGUAGGAAUCUACCUAGUAGAAGGGGAUAGCCCGGGGAAACUCGGAUUAAUACCGUAUACCUCCUUAGGGAGAAAGAGGGCCUCUCUUGAUGCUCUUGCUAUUAGAUGAGCCUGCGUAAGAUUAGCUUGUUGGUGAGGUAAUGGCUCACCAAGGCUAUGAUCUUUAGCUGGUCUGAGAGGACGAUCAGCCACAUUGGGACUGAGACACGGCCCAGUCUCCUACGGGAGGCAGCAGUGGGGAAUAUUGGACAAUGGGCGCAAGCCUGAUCCAGCCAUACCGCGUGUGUGAAGAAGGCUCUAGGGUUGUAAAGCACUUUAAGCAGGGAGAAAAAGUUAUAAGUUAAUACCUUAUAACCGUGAUGUUACCUGCAGAAUAAGCACCGGCUAAUUCCGUGCCAGCAGCCGCGGUAAUACGGAAGGUGCAAGCGUUAAUCGGAAUUACUGGGCGUAAGGCGCGCGUAGGUGGUUUGUUAAGUUGGAUGUGAAAGCCCUGGGCUCAACCUAGGAACUGCAUCCAAAACUAACUCACUAGAGUACGAUAGAGGGAGGUAGAAUUCAUAGUGUAGCGGUGGAAUGCGUAGAUAUUAUGAAGAAUACCAGUGGCGAAGGCGGCCUCCUGGAUCUGUACUGACACUGAGGUGCGAAAGCGUGGGUAGCGAACAGGAUUAGAUACCCUGGUAGUCCACGCCGUAAACGAUGACAACUAGCUGUUGGGAGACAAUGUCUUUCAGUGGCGCAGCUAAC
Molecule: ribosomal RNA, 803 nt
Filed under: uncultured bacterium
Lineage: Bacteria
Description: bacterial SSU rRNA
Rfam family: Bacterial small subunit ribosomal RNA
Source: RNAcentral